This 103-nucleotide small nuclear RNA is filed under the name Dasypus novemcinctus (nine-banded armadillo). The record is from RNAcentral. Lineage: Eukaryota; Metazoa; Chordata; Mammalia; Cingulata; Dasypodidae.
UUCCUUUGGCAGCACAUAUACUAAAAUUGGAAUGAUACAGAGAAGAUUAGCAUGGCCCCUGUGCAAGGAUGGCACACAAAUUAGUGAAGCAUUCUGUAUUUUA